RNAcentral lists this ribosomal RNA (525 nucleotides) under uncultured Alphaproteobacteria bacterium. Its description in RNAcentral is "bacterial SSU rRNA". It matches the Rfam family "Bacterial small subunit ribosomal RNA", at positions 56 to 628 of the family's 1533-position model. Lineage: Bacteria; Pseudomonadati; Pseudomonadota; Alphaproteobacteria. The record is from RNAcentral.
UGCAGUCGAGCGCUCACUUCGGUGGGAGCGGCGGACGGGUUAGUAACGCGUGGGAACAUACCCAACACUAAGGAAUAGCCACUGGAAACGGUGAGUAAUACCUUAUACGCCCUUCGGGGGAAAGAUUUAUCGGUGAUGGAUUGGCCCGCGUUAGAUUAGAUAGUUGGUGGGGUAAUGGCCUACCAAGUCUACGAUCCAUAGCUGGUUUUAGAGGAUGAUCAGCAACACUGGGACUGAGAUACGGCCCAGACUCCUACGGGAGGCAGCAGUGGGGAAUCUUAGACAAUGGGCGAAAGCCUGAUCUAGCGAUGCCGCGUGAGUGAUGAAGGCCCUAGGGUCGUAAAGCUCUUUCGCCAGGGAUGAUAAUGACAGUACCUGGUAAAGAAACCCCGGCUAACUCCGUGCCAGCAGCCGCGGUAAUACGGAGGGGGUUAGCGUUGUUCGGAAUUACUGGGCGUAAAGCGCACGUAGGCGGACUAGAAAGUUAGGGGUGAAAUCCCGGAGCUCAACUCCGGAACUGCCUCU